CUUUAGCCCUGAUGGAAGCGGCAUCCUUUUUAUCUCGUCUUUUUUGACGAGAUAAAAAGAUAUAGCGGACAGCAGGAAUUUUG
Molecule: small RNA, 83 nt
Filed under: Flavobacterium sp. A45
Lineage: Bacteria; Pseudomonadati; Bacteroidota; Flavobacteriia; Flavobacteriales; Flavobacteriaceae
Description: Flavo-1 RNA
Rfam family: Flavo-1 RNA
Source: Rfam by way of RNAcentral